GUUGAAAGUGAAACAGCACAGACCUCCAACUAAGGUCCCAAAGUCAUAGCUAAGUGGGAAACGUAGUGGGAAGGCCCAGACAGCCAGGAGGUUGGCUUAGAAGCAGCCACACUUUAAAGAAAGCGUAAUAGCUCACUGGUCGAGUCGGCCUGCACGUAAGAUUUAACGGGGCUAAGCUAUGCACUGAUGUUGCGGAAUUUAUUUAGUAUAUUGGUAGGGGAGCGUUCUGUAAGCCGAUGAAGG
Molecule: ribosomal RNA, 243 nt
Filed under: Francisella tularensis subsp. holarctica
Lineage: Bacteria; Pseudomonadati; Pseudomonadota; Gammaproteobacteria; Thiotrichales; Francisellaceae
Description: partial 23S ribosomal RNA
Rfam family: Bacterial large subunit ribosomal RNA
Source: RNAcentral